RNAcentral lists this ribosomal RNA (253 nucleotides) under uncultured bacterium. Its description in RNAcentral is "partial 16S ribosomal RNA". It matches the Rfam family "Bacterial small subunit ribosomal RNA", at positions 524 to 776 of the family's 1533-position model. The record is from RNAcentral.
UACAGAGGGGGCAAGCGUUGUUCGGAAUUACUGGGCGUAAAGCGCGCGCAGGCGGCGGUGUUGGCCCGGCGUGAAAGCCCCCGGCUCAACCGGGGAGAGUCGUCGGGGACCGCACCGCUUGAGGGCGGUAGGGGCUGGUGGAAUGCCUGGUGUAGUGGUGAAAUGCGUAGAUAUGCGGAGGAACACCGAUGGCGAAGGCAAUCCCCUGGACCUGUACUGACGCUCAUGCACGAAAGCGUGGGGAGCAAACAGG